Mauremys mutica (yellowpond turtle) is the source of this 748-nucleotide long non-coding RNA. RefSeq lists it as uncharacterized. Lineage: Eukaryota; Metazoa; Chordata; Testudines; Geoemydidae. The transcript is spliced from 4 exons. The record is from RefSeq and is a predicted model, not a curated record.
UAAGAAGAUGAGCUCAUUCCAAAGUAAAUGCCUGUAGGUCUUCAGAGUUCACUGGGAAGCGUUUCUUGCAAAAACAGAAAUUCUAAGUACACCAAAUCAACCUAAAGCAUCAAACAUGAUUUUGUGAGUAGAUGGAGAAGAAUGGAAGAGCCAGAAAAUCCUGAUCACAUUUGUGAACUUUUCUCAGCAGCAGUCCAUGGAGGGCAUCAAUAGGCGACAUCUAGUCUCAAUAAGGACCAUGUUUCUACCCAACAUUUAGACUGCAACACAGAUUACAGUGUCAGGCAUAAAACCUAACAAGAGUCAUUCCUUAGAAGAAAUGAAAGACAAAGAGCUUCACUCCAAUGACAAACUAUUCCAGCCAUUCAAUAGUGUGACCAUUGUCAUCGUAUUCAUGAAAAUACUCCUAUGAUUAGCAGCUGGAAAUCACACUAAAAUGCCCAGGACAGCUUACUUAACUUUUCCCAUCGACUCUGAAGAAGACAAAUCAUCCCCUUCCAAGACUAAAACGAUGCAGAAUGACAAUUUCUCCAGUUUGUGAAGAUCAUUUUGAAUUCUAAUCCAGUCCCCCAUAGCGCUUGCAAAUAUCCCUGCCUGGUAUUGUCCACAAACUUGUUUGGGUUUGUUCAUCUAGACUCCUUAAUUACUUGAAUUGAUUCCCAGUGUCACUGUCUGUUUUAACUUUGUCUUUGUACACAAUGUUUGUCAGUUGUACCCUUAUAUAAUGUAAGGCACUACAAGGUAAGAA